This 385-nucleotide transfer-messenger RNA is filed under the name Acidobacteriota bacterium. RNAcentral's name for it is "partial transfer-messenger RNA". It matches the Rfam family "transfer-messenger RNA". Rfam says of the family: Bacterial tmRNA, also known as 10Sa RNA or SsrA, is named for its dual tRNA and mRNA-like properties. Its role is to liberate the mRNA from a stalled ribosome. The record is from RNAcentral. Lineage: Bacteria; Pseudomonadati; Acidobacteriota.
GACAGGCUUCGACAGGAGUCCUGGACGAUCGACCGGAUGCCAUGCCGGGCUUCUCUAUGCAGCUCGUUAAAAAGCGUAGGGAAAAACAAUUGCCAAUAACAAUGAAUUGGCUCUCGCUGCCUAAUUAGCACCGAGCGUCUCACCGCAAGUUGCUCAUGCGCGCGGAUUGAGAUGUCACUUAGUUGAGCUGGCCCGCUCCUUCGGUCCGUGGGAGUGGGCGAGAACAAAGUCGGACUAGCUCCUGCUGAGGUCUGGUCACUUCACUGACUCGGCAAGCGAGCGAAUUUUUGUCCGGCUUGCCGGACAUGAAAGAGAAGUGACUAAGCAUGUAGAGUCCUUCGACGUUGGCUCUUGGAUCCGAGUUCAAUUCUCGGCGCCUCCACCA